Molecule: unclassified non-coding RNA, 6763 nt
Filed under: Hevea brasiliensis (rubber tree)
Lineage: Eukaryota; Viridiplantae; Streptophyta; Magnoliopsida; Malpighiales; Euphorbiaceae
Source: RNAcentral
UGUCUAUGUUAUAUUUUUCACCAUAUGGCAUAUGAAUUGCAUGGUAUGUUAACUGGUGAUGUUAGUUUGAUAACUGGGGAGAAGGUCAUGCCAGCAUAUGGAGGAGGAUUUGAGUCUUUUCUUAAUAACGUAGUUACCCCCAUAUACAGGGUUAUUUAUGAGGAAGCUGAGAAAAACAAAAGCGGGACAGCUGAUCAUUCUACAUGGAGAAACUAUGAUGAUCUAAAUGAGUAUUUCUGGUCACCUGACUGUUUCCAAAUAGGUUGGCCCAUGCGUCUGGAUCAUGAAUUUUUCUGUGUACAGGCUUCAAAUAAACACAAAGUUAAGAAAACUGCAGAUGAAAAGAAGAAGAGAGAAGCCAAAGAAGAUGAAGAAUUGGGACUAAACAGAGACGAAGAGCUUAGGGCUCCUAGAAAUGACCAUCAUGAACCAAGAUGGCUAGGGAAGACAAAUUUUGUAGAGAUUCGCUCAUUUUGGCAAAUUUUUAGGAGCUUUGAUAGAAUGUGGAGCUUUUUUAUCCUAUCCCUUCAGGCAAUGAUAAUUAUGGCUUGCCAUGAUUUGGGGUCUCCACUUGAAAUGCUUGAUGCAAUAAUAUUUGAAGACGUCAUGAGUGUCUUCAUUACAUGUGCAAUUCUUAAACUUAUACAAGCAAUUCUUGAUAUUGUCUUCACAUGGAAAGCCAGAUUCACAAUGGAUAUCUCCAGGAAAAGAAAGUUGUUAUUGAAGCUACUUGUUGCAAUCAUAUGGACUAUUGUUCUUCCUGUAUAUUAUGCUAAAUCUAGAAAGAAAUACGCCUGUUAUUCCACACAAUAUGGAAGUUGGCUUGGUCAACUGUGUUUCUCUUCCUACAUGGUUGCAGUUGCAAUUUACUUGAUGACUAAUGCAAUUGAGAUGGUCUUAUUUUUCGUUCCUGUAGUCAGCAAAUAUAUCGAGAUAUCAAAUAAUCGCAUAUGUAAAACUUUGUCUUGGUGGACACAGCCAAGAUUAUAUGUUGGACGUGGGAUGCAAGAAACCCAAAUUUCAGUUUUCAAGUAUAGCAUACUCCUUUCUCUGUCGCAUUUUUUUUUAAUUACGUUGUUUGUUUUAUAAAAACUUCCCUAAUGUGAAACUUCUUAUCAUGUAGAUAUACAUUAUUUUGGGUAUUGGUACUAUUGAGCAAAUUUUUAUUCAGUUACUGUUUUGAGGUGAGUGGUUUUGUGGUUGCUUCCUUAUUAAGUUCUAAUAUAAAAGGUAUGGAUCUGCGUUUUCACUGAAAACCAAAAUUUUAAGGCAUAAAGAAUAUUGAAUCAUUACGAUUGCAUAAUAUUUUGAGCUCCGCAUUAGAAAGAAAGAAAUAAACAAGAUAAGUUGAACUAAGCUCUACAUCUUUUUCAUUGUCAUGAGAAGAAAACUUGAGUUGAUACCUGUCAUGAGAAGAAAACUUGAGUUGAUACCUGUCAUGGGAAGAAAACUUGAGUUGGUACCUCUCAAACAUAUUGGAAAGCAAAAUGCAUGGUUCUACAUAUUCAUUAUCUUCAUUAAGAAAUCUAACUAAUUACAAAAAUUUAUUUUGGCUUAAUGAAAUAAAAUUUCAUCAAAUAUAUAUCUAUACAUAAGGACUAAUUAUGUUUUAUAUUGCAUACGUAAUUAGCCAUAUAAAAUGUUAUUUUAGUUCUUUCUAUUAAGGACACGUUCUUUAUUAAUUGCUUGGGAAAUUUCUACAUUUAUUUCUGUCCAUUCUUCCUUCUUCCACUUUGUCUUUCUAAGCUGAAGGAAAUAUUAGUAUAUUAUAUUAGUGAAGCACUGUUUAGUAGCAUUGGGUCUCUACGGGCAGUGCCUUGCACAUGGGUACAAUUUGUAUUGAGUGAAGCCUUUGUGCAGUAGCAGCAUCUUACUUGUUUACUGUAUUUGGACUUUUUUUUUAAUGUUCUUGGUCAAAUAUUUUUUUUGAUUUUGGAAUCUGUGUUUUUGUAGAUUUGAAUGGAAGAAACUAGAAACUAUAAACAAGAAGGAUUAAAAAAACCAUUUCUCUUUACAGUUUACACUCAACGUACUAAAUUAUUAUCUUAAAAAUGCGUAAAACAUAGCCUGCUGCCCUUUAAAAUGCAAAAUACUUGGUAAUUUGUUGCUGCAGCAAUGUCUUUCUAUGAUUAGAAUUUGACAAUGAAAUUCUUGCUGUGAGUUAAAAAAAUACAGAUCAAACCACUCAUUGGACCAACAAGACUAAUCCUGAAAAUUGGUGUGCAAAAUUAUGACUGGCAUGAGCUUUUCCCAAAAGUAAAGAGUAAUGCAGGGGCAAUUGUUGCUAUAUGGGCUCCAAUUAUUGUUGUGUAUUUCAUGGACACACAGAUAUGGUAUUCUGUGUUCUGUGCAAUCUUUGGUGGACUUUAUGGCAUAAUACAUCAUCUUGGAGAGAUUCGGACAUUGGGAAUGCUAAGAAGUAGAUUUCACACUUUACCUUCUGCAUUCAAUGUUUGCCUAAUCCCGCCCUCAGCAAAAAAUGAUCAGAAAACAGAAGGAAGCAAUUUCUUUCGCAAUAGAUUUCACAAGGUGUCUGAAACUAGAUCUAAUGCUUUUUCCAAGUUUGUUCUCGUAUGGAACCAAAUAAUCAAUACUUUCCGGCUAGAGGACUUGAUAAGCAACAGGGAAUUGGAUUUAAUGAAAAUACCUAUGUCUUCAGAGCUAUUUUCUAACAUGGUUCGCUGGCCUAUUUUUCUCUUGGCAAAUAAGUUUUCAACAGCAAUAAGCAUUACAAGAGAUUUUGUAGGAAAGGAUGAUAUUCUUCUGAGAAAGAUAAAAAAAGACAAGUACAUGUACAGUGCUGUGAAAGAGUGCUAUGAGUCACUCAAGUACGUACUUGAAAUUCUCAUAGUAGGCAAUCUGGAGAAAAGGUACAGCAAACGUCUUUUGAUUAAACCUAAUUCAAUUUGAGAAUGUUGGAUGUAGAUUCAGAUUAGUUGUCAAAUUUUGUGGUAAAAACUAUUAAUGUUGUUAGGCAAUUGCAAUUCAGAGGUAUGGAUUUUGUUCCACUUUCUUCUUUAUUUUAGCACAUAAUAUUAUUUGAUCCUUGCUUUUUAGGGUUGUGUCCUGUUUACUAAAUGAAAUCGAAGGAAGCAUCGGAAGAUCAAGUCUUCUUGAGGAUUUUAAGAUGAGUGAGCUUCCAGUUCUACUAGCAAAAUGCACUGAACUAGUUGAACUUCUGGUAACUAUGUCUAUAACCCUGAAAAGCUAAAGUGGUAAUAAUGAAUUUGCAAUCAUUUUACAAGUUCUUGAGACCCUAGUGAUUGUUGUAUGACUGUUUUUUUGCUGAGGUCGAGGGAAAUGAAAACCAGCAUGGUAAUGUGGUGAGAGUUCUCCAAGAUAUGUUUGAGCUUGUAACAAAUGAUAUAAUGACAAAUAGUUCAAGAAUAUUGGAUUUGCUCUCUCCUCAACAGGUGGAAGACAGUUUUGCUUAUUUUUCCCGAACAAUUGAACCACAAUUAUUUGAAUCGGCUGAUGAUAGUUCUAUCAAUUUUCCAUUGCCAGAUACUUCAGAUACUCGUCUUCUCAAUGAGCAGGUUAAGCGUCUUCAUUUGUUGCUUACAGUGAAAGAUAAAGCCAUGGACAUACCUGCUAAUUUAGAAGCUCGGAGGCGUAUUUCAUUCUUUGCUACUUCACUUUUUACUGAUAUGCCCAUUGCUCCCAAAAUACGCAAUAUGCUGUCUUUCAGUGUCAUGACUCCACACUACAUGGAAGAUAUUAAUUAUUCAAUGAAGGAGCUCAAUUCAAGCAAAGAAGAGGUUUCCAUCUUAUUUUAUAUGCAGAAAAUAUAUCCAGAUGAGUGGAAAAACUUUCUGGAGCGCAUGGAUUGUGAAUAUUCAGAUGUAUUAAAAGAUGAAAGCAAAAAGGAAGAGCUGAGAAAUUGGGCUUCUUUCAGGAGUCAAACAUUAAGUAGAACAGUUAGAGGAAUGAUGUACUAUCGAGAAGCCUUAAGAGUUCAGGCAUUUCUGGAUAUGGCUAAGGAUGAAGAAAUUGUUCGAGGUUUAGACGGAGCUGAAAGAAAUAAUCCUGCAUUAUUUGCUCAAUUAGAUGCACUAGCAGACUUAAAAUUCACCUAUAUCAUUUCUUGUCAAAUAUAUGGAUCACAAAAGUCCUCUGGAGAUCCUCAUGCGAAUGACAUUCUUGAAUUAAUGAAAAGGUACGCAUCUGUCCGUGUUGCUUACGUUGAGGAGAAAGAAGAGAUUGUGAACGAUAAACCACGAAAGGUUUAUUCUUCUAUAUUGGUGAAAGCUGUCGAUGGUCUCGAUCAGGAAAUUUAUCGGAUAAAGCUCCCUGGUCCACCAAAUAUUGGGGAAGGGAAACCCGAAAAUCAAAAUCAUGCCAUAAUUUUCACGCGUGGUGAAGCUCUUCAGACUAUUGAUAUGAACCAGGACAAUUAUUUGGAAGAAGCUUUUAAAAUGAGAAACCUUCUACAAGAAUUUUUUCAGCAGCAAGGGCGGCGGCCCCCAACUAUACUUGGCUUAAGGGAACACAUAUUCACUGGAAGUGUUUCUUCUCUAGCUUGGUUCAUGUCAUAUCAAGAGACGAGCUUUGUCACCAUUGGUCAAAGGCUUAUUGCCAACCCUCUCAGGGUACGUUUCCACUAUGGACACCCUGAUGUAUUUGACAGGUUAUUUCACAUCACAAGAGGUGGCAUAAGCAAAGCAUCAAAAACAAUAAACUUGAGUGAGGACGUAUUUGCUGGGUUUAAUUCUACCUUACGACGGGGCUGUAUCACUUACCACGAGUACCUCCAAGUUGGUAAGGGGCGUGAUGUAGGCCUAAAUCAGAUCUCAAAGUUUGAAGCCAAAGUAGCUAAUGGAAACAGCGAACAAACUCUAAGUCGUGACAUAUACCGACUUGGACAAUGGUUUGACUUUUUCCGGAUGCUAUCUUGUUACUUCACAACCAUUGGAUUUUACUUCAGUAACUUGGUAAUUUGUUUGCACUUCAAUUGAUCUCUUUUUUAAUAUAAAAUGGUUUCUUUUCAAUUGUAUCGAACAGUUGCAAUCGAUGAGCCAGACCAAUUUUAUACAUCUUGUACUGUGUUUGGUUAAAAAUAUAGAAUUAUCGUAUUUAUGCAUUGGAAUGUCUUUUUAUUCAUACCAUUCCCAUUCAAUGAUUAACUUAAAAUUCUUCUGCAAGAAUCUACAGAUAUCAGUAAUUGGAAUUUAUGUGUUCCUCUACGGGCAGCUAUACCUUGUCUUAAGUGGGCUUCAGAAAACGCUAGUCCUUGAGGCUAGAAUGCAUAAUAUACAGUCACUGGAAACAGCUCUUGCCUCUCAAUCAUUUAUCCAGCUUGGGCUUCUAACUGGCUUACCUAUGGUGAUGGAGAUUGGACUUGAGAAAGGAUUUCUCACAGCCUUCAAAGAUUUUAUUCUCAUGCAAUUGCAGUUAGCUGCUGUUUUCUUCACUUUCUCACUUGGAACAAAGAUUCAUCAUUAUGGUAGAACAAUUUUGUAUGGGGGUGCGAAGUACAGACCUACUGGGCGUAAGGUUGUGGUGUUUCAUGCUAGCUUUACUGAGAAUUACCGAUUGUACUCCCGAAGCCACUUUGUCAAAGGAUUCGAACUAGUGCUCCUUUUAAUUGUUUAUGAUUUGUUCAGGCGGUCCUACCAGAGCAGUAUGGCAUAUGUAUUGAUUACUUAUUCAAUUUGGUUCAUGUCAAUAACUUGGUUAUUUGCGCCAUUUCUAUUUAAUCCUUCUGGAUUCAGUUGGGACAAAAUAGUGGAUGACUGGAAAGACUGGAAUAAAUGGAUCAGGGAGCAAGGUGGUAUAGGAAUUCAACAGGACAAAAGUUGGCAAUCUUGGUGGAAUGAUGAACAAGAACAUCUCCGCCGUUCAGGACUGGGUGCUAGAUUUUUUGAGAUACUCCUUUCUGUUCGAUUUUUCAUGUACCAAUAUGGUUUGGUGUAUCACCUCGACAUCUCACAACAUAGCAAAAAUUUUUUAGUUUAUCUGCUUUCAUGGGUUGUGAUUCUUGCAGUUUUUCUAUUGUUCAAGGCUGUCAACAUGGGAAGGCAGCAAUUCAGUGCUAAUUACCACCUUGUUUUCAGACUUUUUAAGGCAUUUCUCUUCAUUGCUGUUGUGUCCAUUAUAAUUACUCUUUCACUUAUCUGUGAACUAUCCUUGAAGGACGUAAUUGUGUGUUGUCUGGCGUUUUUGCCCACUGGAUGGGGCUUGAUAUUGAUUGCUCAAGCUGUGAGACCCAAGAUAGAGAAUACAGGAGUAUGGGAGUUUACCCAAGUCCUUGCUAAGGCAUAUGAUUAUGGAAUGGGUGUUAUUCUUUUUGCACCUAUAGCUAUAUUUUCAUGGCUUCCAAUCAUAUCAGCCUUCCAGACUCGUUUUCUUUUCAAUGAAGCCUUCAACAGGCAUUUGCAAAUUCAACCUAUUCUUGCAGGGAAGAAGAAAAAGCAGUGAUAAUUUUUUCACUGCCCAUUGUGUUCAUGCUAUUAUUAUUUUGUAAUUUUGUGAAGUCAGUGUAGAACAGUUAGGAAAUAUCUCAAAAUUUAUAUUGUAUAUAGAAUGAUUACUAACAUAUAAAUAGAAAUAGAAGCUGAAAUACUGAGUUUCUUUAUUUAUUUAUAUAUUUAUUUGGGGUUCUGAUAAAGAUUCAAACUUCAAUAUCAAUAGUAGGUCGGGGUUCAUAGACAACUUAUUCUACUUCUGCUAAUUCUGGCAAUAAUAGAAGUAAAAUUUCAGUAACUUUGCUUGAAAUGAUUGUAGUUCAUCAUCCAUUGCAAUUCUUAUAUAUCCUCAACUAAAU